RNAcentral lists this ribosomal RNA (482 nucleotides) under uncultured bacterium. RNAcentral's name for it is "bacterial SSU rRNA". It matches the Rfam family "Bacterial small subunit ribosomal RNA", at positions 28 to 508 of the family's 1533-position model. The record is from RNAcentral.
GAUGAACGCUAGCGGAAGGCCUAACACAUGCAAGUCGAGCGGUAUUUGGUAGCUUGCUACUAGAGAGAGCGGCGUACGGGUGCGUAACAUGUGUGCAACCUACCCUUAUCAAGGGGAUAGCCAUUCGAAAGGAUGAUUAAUACCCUAUAAUAUAUCAGGUGGCAUCAUUUGAUAUUGAAAGCUACGGUGGAUAAGGAUGGGCACGCACAAGAUUAGCUAGUUGGUGAGGUAACGGCUUACCAAGGCGAUGAUCUUUAGGGGUCCUGAGAGGGAGAUCCCCCACACUGGGACUGAGACACGGCCCAGACUCCUACGGGAGGCAGCAGUGAGGAAUAUUGGACAAUGGGUGGGAGCCUGAUCCAGCCAUUCCGCGUGCAGGAAGAAGGUCUUAUGGAUUGUAAACUGCUUUUAUAUAGGGAUAAACCUACUCUCGAGAGGGUAGCUGAAGGUACUAUAUGAAUAAGCACCGGCUAACUCCGUGC